UUCCUCAAAAAGUUUUUCUUCAAAUUUUUUUGUCAUUUCCUUAUUCGUUUUCUUUUUCCUUUUUCGAUUAUCAUCCUUAUUUGAUUUCCAUUUCCUUAUUCGAUUUUCAUUUCCUUAUUCGAUUUUCUUUUCCUUAUUCGGUUUCUUCUUCCUUUUUCAAUAUUCAUUUCCUUUUUCGGUUCCUAUUUCCUUAUUCGGUUUCUAUUUCCUUAUUGGAUUUUAAUUUCCUUAUUCGAUUUCCAUUUCCUUAUUCAAUUUCAUUUCCUUAUUCGGUUUCUUUUUUUUUUCAAUAUUCAUUUCCUUAUUCGGUUUCUAUUUCCUUAUUCAGUUUCUAUUUCCUUAUUGGAUUUUCAUUUCCUUAUUCGAUUUCCAUUUCCUUAUUCGAUUUUCAUUUCCUUAUUCGGUUUCUUUUUCCUUUUUCAAUAUUCAUUUCCUUUUUCGGUUUCUAUUUCCUUAUUUUCUUUCUUAUUGGAUUUUCAUUUCCUUAUUCGAUUUCCAUUUCCUUAUUCAAUUUUCAUUUCCUUAUUCGGUUUCUAUUUCCUAAUUGGAUUUUCGUUUCCUUAUUCGAUUUCCAUUUCCUUAUUCGAUUUUCAUUUCCUAAUUCGGUUUCUUUUUCCUUUUUCAAUAUUCAUUUCCUUUUUCGGUUUCUAGUUCCUUAUUCGGUUUCUAUUUCCUUAUUGGAUUUUCAUUUCCUUAUUCAAUUUCCAUUUCCUUAUUCGGUUUCUUUUUCCUUAUUCGGUUUCUUUUUCCUUAUUCGGUUUCUUUUUCUUUUUUCAAUUUUCAUUUCCUUUUUCGGUUUCUAUUUCCUUAUUCGGUUUCUAUUUCCUUUUUCGAUUUUCAUUUCCUUAUUCGGUUUCCAUUUCCUUUUUCGAUAUUCAAAUUUUGAAAAAUAUUACAAGUCCAAACUGAAUUUUUUUUUUCCUUCAAAUUUUUUUUUCCUCAAAAUUUUUUUUCC
Molecule: long non-coding RNA, 955 nt
Filed under: Mytilus galloprovincialis (Mediterranean mussel)
Lineage: Eukaryota; Metazoa; Mollusca; Bivalvia; Mytilida; Mytilidae
Source: RNAcentral